AAAUUGAAGAGUUUGAUCAUGGCUCAGAUUGAACGCUGGCGGCAGGCCUAACACAUGCAAGUCGAACGGUAACAGGAAGCAGCUUGCUGCUUCGCUGACGAGUGGCGGACGGGUGAGUAAUGUCUGGGAAACUGCCUGAUGGAGGGGGAUAACUACUGGAAACGGUGGCUAAUACCGCAUAACGUCGCAAGACCAAAGAGGGGGACCUUCGGGCCUCUUGCCAUCAGAUGUGCCCAGAUGGGAUUAGCUAGUUGGUGAGGUAACGGCUCACCAAGGCGACGAUCCCUAGCUGGUCUGAGAGGAUGACCAGCCACACUGGAACUGAGACACGGUCCAGACUCCUACGGGAGGCAGCAGUGGGGAAUAUUGCACAAUGGGCGCAAGCCUGAUGCAGCCAUGCCGCGUGUAUGAAGAAGGCCUUCGGGUUGUAAAGUACUUUCAGCGGGGAGGAAGGUGUUGUG
RNAcentral lists this ribosomal RNA (461 nucleotides) under Salmonella enterica subsp. enterica serovar Muenchen. Its description in RNAcentral is "bacterial SSU rRNA". It matches the Rfam family "Bacterial small subunit ribosomal RNA", at positions 1 to 458 of the family's 1533-position model. The record is from RNAcentral. Lineage: Bacteria; Pseudomonadati; Pseudomonadota; Gammaproteobacteria; Enterobacterales; Enterobacteriaceae. RNAcentral also lists the same sequence under 3 other names.